CCCCUGUUAUUCCUCCUUUCAAAUCUCACCCACCUCUCUUCCACCCACUAACCCUUCCCAUUCCUCUCCUCCCUAUGCUAAACUUUUACCCAGAUUUCUUUCCUCCCCUGACCACUCUUCUUUUACCUGCUCACAUUUUCCCUCCCUCUAUCUUGUUUCCCCAUUCUCCCGCACCCCACCACCCACCCUACCUACCCCUCUCCAAACUCUCUCCCAUGCUGCUAGUCUUUUUUCCUAACAUCUUCUCCAUUCUUCCCCCCACCCCCAUUUUCCUUCCUCUCUUCCCCCACCUCUUCCCCCACCUCUUCCC
Paramuricea clavata is the source of this 310-nucleotide non-coding RNA. The record is from the annotation of a GenBank genome assembly. Lineage: Eukaryota; Metazoa; Cnidaria; Anthozoa; Malacalcyonacea; Plexauridae.